RNAcentral lists this ribosomal RNA (253 nucleotides) under uncultured bacterium. RNAcentral's name for it is "partial 16S ribosomal RNA". It matches the Rfam family "Bacterial small subunit ribosomal RNA", at positions 524 to 776 of the family's 1533-position model. The record is from RNAcentral.
UACGUAGGUGACAAGCGUUGUCCGGAUUUACUGGGCGUAAAGAGCGCGCAGGCGGUCGAUCAAGUCGAGUGUGAAAGCCCCCGGCUCAACUGGGGAGGGUCACGCGAUACUGAUCGACUCGAAGGCAGGAGAGGGUAGUGGAAUUCCCGGUGUAGUGGUGAAAUGCGUAGAUAUCGGGAGGAACACCAGUGGCGAAGGCGACUACCUGGCCUGUUCUUGACGCUGAGGCGCGAAAGCUAGGGGAGCGAACAGG